RNAcentral lists this ribosomal RNA (1354 nucleotides) under Mycobacterium sp. DWMJ-1770B3. RNAcentral describes it as "bacterial SSU rRNA". It matches the Rfam family "Bacterial small subunit ribosomal RNA", at positions 81 to 1438 of the family's 1533-position model. The record is from RNAcentral. Lineage: Bacteria; Bacillati; Actinomycetota; Actinomycetes; Mycobacteriales; Mycobacteriaceae. RNAcentral also lists the same sequence under 1 other name.
UUCGGGGUACUCGAGUGGCGAACGGGUGAGUAACACGUGGGUGAUCUGCCCUGCGGACUUUGGGAUAAGCCUGGGAAACUCNGGGUCUAAUACCGAAUAGGACCACGCGCUUCAUGGUGUGUGGUGGAAAGCAGUUUUGCGGUGUGGGAUGGGCCCGCGGCCUAUCAGCUUGUUGGUGGGGUAACGGCCUACCAAGGCGACGACGGGUAGCCGGCCUGAGAGGGUGACCGGCCACACUGGGACUGAGAUACGGCCCAGACUCCUACGGGAGGCAGCAGUGGGGAAUAUUGCACAAUGGGCGCAAGCCUGAUGCAGCGACGCCGCGUGAGGGAUGACGGCCUUCGGGUUGUAAACCUCUUUCAAUAGGGACGAAGCGCAAGUGACGGUACCUAUAGAAGAAGCACCGGCCAACUACGUGCCAGCAGCCGCGGUAAUACGUAGGGUGCGAGCGUUGUCCGGAAUUACUGGGCGUAAAGAGCUCGUAGGUGGUUUGUCGCGUUGUUCGUGAAAACUCACAGCUUAACUGUGGGCGUGCGGGCGAUACGGGCAGACUAGAGUACUGCAGGGGAGACUGGAAUUCCUGGUGUAGCGGUGGAAUGCGCAGAUAUCAGGAGGAACACCGGUGGCGAAGGCGGGUCUCUGGGCAGUAACUGACGCUGAGGAGCGAAAGCGUGGGGAGCGAACAGGAUUAGAUACCCUGGUAGUCCACGCCGUAAACGGUGGGUACUAGGUGUGGGUUCCUUCCUUGGGAUCCGUGCCGUAGCUAACGCAUUAAGUACCCCGCCUGGGGAGUACGGCCGCAAGGCUAAAACUCAAAGGAAUUGACGGGGGCCCGCACAAGCGGCGGAGCAUGUGGAUUAAUUCGAUGCAACGCGAAGAACCUUACCUGGGUUUGACAUGCACAGGACGCCGGCAGAGAUGUCGGUUCCCUUGUGGCCUGUGUGCAGGUGGUGCAUGGCUGUCGUCAGCUCGUGUCGUGAGAUGUUGGGUUAAGUCCCGCAACGAGCGCAACCCUUGUCCCUAUGUUGCCAGCGGGUUAUGCCGGGGACUCGUAGGAGACUGCCGGGGUCAACUCGGAGGAAGGUGGGGAUGACGUCAAGUCAUCAUGCCCCUUAUGUCCAGGGCUUCACACAUGCUACAAUGGCCGGUACAAAGGGCUGCGAUGCCGUGAGGUGGAGCGAAUCCUUUCAAAGCCGGUCUCAGUUCGGAUCGGGGUCUGCAACUCGACCCCGUGAAGUCGGAGUCGCUAGUAAUCGCAGAUCUGCAGCAACGCUGCGGUGAAUACGUUCCCGGGCCUUGUACACACCGCCCGUCACGUCAUGAAAGUCGGUAACACCCGAAGCCGGUGGCCUAA